CUCACUCACAGAUGCAGUACUGCUCACUGCAAAUGAAGAGGAACGCAGCAAGCAUCCUCAGGGCAUUAAAGCAAAUAUAAAAGAAGUCCACGAUUGGCUUUUGCACCACACGGGCUCACACCCAGCACUGCUGUGCCCUGAAGAUGUUGCACGGUGCCUUGAGGAUGCUGCCCACCCCCUGUGGUUCUCUGCUGCUCUCCAUUGCAUUCCUAAGGAGCAGGCAGGAACAAGCACUUAAAAAUGCACACUGCUAAGACUGUGAUAACAGGACCUGGGGAGAAAGACUACAUAACUAUCAGCUUUUGGCAUGUAGUUCUACACUGUCUGGUAAUGAAGAUGAAUUGUGUCUUUUGAAACCCUUUCUUUAAAAUUAGCUUAAAUUAAUGUGCAGGAGUGAGCAUUCUUGAUCCUGCGCACUUCUACAGAACUUACAGUGAAGCUGAUUGCUGAAUUAUCUGGCUUUUAUUUGUGAGAUGGGGAAAAGUCCUGCAGGCACACAGAAGGUAUCCUGGAACUAAGGCAGGCAGUGAUGUGCCUGUGACAGCUGACCUCAUCCUGGCCAGGUGGAUUUGUGCCCCUACAGAGCAGGAAGAAGAGGAAAAAGCUGCAGCAGCCCCCUGAUGCUCAUGCCCUGAACCAGCUGCACGCUGGGCUCAGUCCCAGUGAUGGGACAUAUGGCAAAAACACUUAUGGCAAAAGACAUUCUGAAUGGCCAAAGGUGUUAUGCAUUGCCAAGGCAGUGCUGAGAUGCUGAGUCUGCCAGAAAGGUGAAGCUGCCUUUAUCUCCAACACAGGAUGAAACCUGACUGUUGGUGCUGCAGCAGCCCCCCUGCUGACCACAGGGCUCUGAGUCAGGGGCAGCGCAGAGCAGGGUGGAUUUGUCUGGAGUUGGAGAGGAAGCGAAGAAGAUGAAGGAUUCCUGCCCUUCUGCUCCUGCUCUCCCACCCUGCCUCGAUGUCCAGCUGGCCAAGCUGUGAUAGAGUCACUGUGGACAUCCAGCAGCAUCCUGGAACUUCUGCUCUCAUUUCAAUAUUGCAUUUCAGUUUUUAUGUGCUCUGCAUCACUGGGGGGUUGCAAAGGGGACAGUGCCAGGCACAAAGUGGGGAGCUCACCAGAGGCAGAACUCUUCAGAUACUCUGUGUUUGUGAAAAGCAGAAAAAAGAUGUUGAAAUUUAGUAAAAAGGCUGUACUCCACCAAGCUUUUGUGCUGGGUAUACAGAAAGGAGGGAGAGAAGACGGGAAAGAGGGAAAAUAAGGGCACAUCCAUCUCUCUGUAUUUUGCUGCUCUGCUAGAAUCUGUGGUUGUCAGAUACUCCAAUCACCUGUCUGUGGGGCUGCAAUCCAUCUCAGGGUGAGCCAGGAGGAGAUACACCAUUGGCUAUUUCACAUGCAGUGUGUCAUCUGGCAGGCUGUACAUAUAGUGAGGAAAGCGGGGACCACUCAGUCUCUGAGCAAAGCUGCUUCCAGUGAAUAGCUCAGAGAUAAUCUGAGGAUGGAAAGAAAUGGGAAAGGCUUCCCCUGCUUUUUUUUUUUGUUAUUGUUGUUGUUCUGAUAAGCUCUGAAAACUGUUGGGAAAUGGAGCGCUGAUUGAUGAAGGACUGUGUGGAAUAGCAAUAAAGCACUUUUCCAAGGAGAAGCUGUGAGAGAGAAGAACAGUACCUGAAAGUAAAUAUUUCAUAGGAUUUCUUCCUACAUAGAGGAAGUGUUUGGGGAUAUUUCAGCAUCUGAAUCGUCUCCUGUAUACAGGACGUAUGGGACUGAAAAAGAAGAGCAGUACCUGGAGAGUCCUGGAGCACAGCUGAUGCACAAUCAGCACAGGAAGAAGGACCCAUUUAUCAACUCCUUUAUGCGCUUUGCAUCUGCAGAGCAUAUUUUUACAAUGCAAGCAUGCAUGUUCCUCUCUGCAACCGCUGACUGUAGCAC
Long non-coding RNA from Tympanuchus pallidicinctus (lesser prairie-chicken), 1923 nucleotides. RefSeq lists it as uncharacterized. The record is from RefSeq and is a predicted model, not a curated record. The transcript has 3 exons. NCBI's taxonomy places the organism in Eukaryota, Metazoa, Chordata, Aves, Galliformes, Phasianidae.